Ribosomal RNA from Nomascus leucogenys (northern white-cheeked gibbon), 118 nucleotides. The record is from Ensembl. Lineage: Eukaryota; Metazoa; Chordata; Mammalia; Primates; Hylobatidae.
AUCUAUAGCCAUACCACCCUGAAUGUGCCCAAUCUCAUCUGAUCUUGGAAGCUAAGCAGGGUUGGGCCUGGCUAGUACUUGGAGGGGAGACUGCCAGGAAUACCAGGUGCUGUAGGCU